Molecule: ribosomal RNA, 402 nt
Filed under: uncultured bacterium
Lineage: Bacteria
Description: bacterial SSU rRNA
Rfam family: Bacterial small subunit ribosomal RNA
Source: RNAcentral
AGAGUUUGAUCAUGGCUCAGGAUAAACGCUGGCGGCGUGCCUUACGCAUGCAAGUCGAACGAAGCCCCCGCCUUCGGGUGGGGAGACUGAGUGGCAAACGGCUGAGUAACGCGUAGGUGACCUGUCCCGAGGUGCGGAACAAUCCGUCGAAAGGCGGCCUAAUACCGCAUGAGCCCACCGGUUCGGCCUGGUGGGGAAAGCUCCGGCGCCUUGGGAGGGGCCUGCGUUCGAUUAGCUAGUUGGUGGGGUAACGGCUCACCAAGGCGACGAUCGAUAGCUGGUCUGAGAGGAUGAUCAGCCAGACUGGGACUGAGAAACGGCCCAGACUCCUACGGGAGGCAGCAGCGAGGAAUCUUGCGCAAUGGGCGAAAGCCUGACGCAGCAACGCCGCGUGAGUGAAGA